This 63-nucleotide transfer RNA is filed under the name Prosopocoilus laterotarsus. RNAcentral describes it as "tRNA-Asp". Lineage: Eukaryota; Metazoa; Arthropoda; Insecta; Coleoptera; Lucanidae. RNAcentral also lists the same sequence under 1 other name. The record is from RNAcentral.
AAAGACUUAGUUAAAUAAAUAACAUUAACUUGUCAAAUUAAAAUUACUUAAAAGUAGUCUUUA